UUAAGCGACUAAGCGUACACGGUGGAUGCCCUGGCAGUCAGAGGCGAUGAAGGACGUGCUAAUCUGCGAAAAGCGUCGGUAAGGUGAUAUGAACCGUUAUAGCCGGCGAUGUCCGAAUGGGGAAACCCAGUGCAAUUCGUUGCACUAUCGUUAACUGAAUACAUAGGUUAACGAGGCGAACCGGGGGAACUGAAACAUCUAAGUACCCCGAGGAAAAGAAAUCAACCGAGAUUCCCCCAGUAGCGGCGAGCGAACGGGGAGCAGCCCAGAGUCUGAAUCAGCUUGUGUGUUAGUGGAACGGUCUGGAAAGUCCGACGGUACAGGGUGAUAGUCCCGUACACCAAAAUGCACAGGUUGUGAACUCGAAGAGUAGGGCGGGACACGUGGUAUCCUGUCUGAAUAUGGGGGGACCAUCCUCCAAGGCUAAAUACUCCUGACUGACCGAUAGUGAACCAGUACCGUGAGGGAAAGGCGAAAAGAACCCCGGCGAGGGGAGUGAAAAAGAACCUGAAACCGUGUACGUACAAGCAGUGGGAGCACCUUCGGGUGUGACUGCGUACCUUUUGUAUAAUGGGUCAGCGACUUAUAUUCUGUAGCAAGGUUAACCGUAUAGGGGAGCCGCAGGGAAACCGAGUCUUAACUGGGCGUUAAGUUGCAGGGUAUAGACCCGAAACCCGGUGAUCUAGCCAUGGGCAGGUUGAAGGUUGGGUAACACUAACUGGAGGACCGAACCGACUAAUGUUGAAAAAUUAGCGGAUGACUUGUGGCUGGGGGUGAAAGGCCAAUCAAACCGGGAGAUAGCUGGUUCUCCCCGAAAGCUAUUUAGGUAGCGCCUCGUGAACUCAUCUUCGGGGGUAGAGCACUGUUUCGGCUAGGGGGUCAUCCCGACUUACCAACCCGAUGCAAACUACGAAUACCGAAGAAUGUUAUCACGGGAGACACACGGCGGGUGCUAACGUCCGUCGUGAAGAGGGAAACAACCCAGACCGCCAGCUAAGGUCCCAAAGUCAUGGUUAAGUGGGAAACGAUGUGGGAAGGCACAGACAGCCAGGAUGUUGGCUUAGAAGCAGCCAUCAUUUAAAGAAAGCGUAAUAGCUCACUGGUCGAGUCGGCCUGCGCGGAAGAUGUAACGGGGCUAAACCAUGCACCGAAGCUGCGGCAGCGACACUAUGUGUUGUUGGGUAGGGGAGCGUUCUGUAAGCCUGCGAAGGUGACCUGUGAGGGUUGCUGGAGGUAUCAGAAGUGCGAAUGCUGACAUAAGUAACGAUAAAGCGGGUGAAAAGCCCGCUCGCCGGAAGACCAAGGGUUCCUGUCCAACGUUAAUCGGGGCAGGGUGAGUCGACCCCUAAGGCGAGGCCGAAAGGCGUAGUCGAUGGGAAACAGGUUAAUAUUCCUGUACUUGGUGUUACUGCGAAGGGGGGACGGAGAAGGCUAUGUUAGCCGGGCGACGGUUGUCCCGGUUUAAGCAUGUAGGCUGGUUGUCCAGGCAAAUCCGGAUAAUCAAGGCUGAGGUGUGAUGACGAGGCACUACGGUGCUGAAGUAACAAAUGCCCUGCUUCCAGGAAAAGCCUCUAAGCAUCAGGUAACAUCAAAUCGUACCCCAAACCGACACAGGUGGUCAGGUAGAGAAUACCAAGGCGCUUGAGAGAACUCGGGUGAAGGAACUAGGCAAAAUGGUGCCGUAACUUCGGGAGAAGGCACGCUGGUGUGUAGGUGAAGUCCCUGCGGAUGGAGCUGAGACCAGUCGAAGAUACCAGCUGGCUGCAACUGUUUAUUAAAAACACAGCACUGUGCAAACACGAAAGUGGACGUAUACGGUGUGACGCCUGCCCGGUGCCGGAAGGUUAAUUGAUGGGGUUAUCCGUAAGGAGAAGCUCUUGAUCGAAGCCCCGGUAAACGGCGGCCGUAACUAUAACGGUCCUAAGGUAGCGAAAUUCCUUGUCGGGUAAGUUCCGACCUGCACGAAUGGCGUAAUGAUGGCCAGGCUGUCUCCACCCGAGACUCAGUGAAAUUGAACUCGCUGUGAAGAUGCAGUGUACCCGCGGCAAGACGGAAAGACCCCGUGAACCUUUACUAUAGCUUGACACUGAACAUUGAGCCUUGAUGUGUAGGAUAGGUGGGAGGCUUUGAAGCGUGGACGCCAGUCUGCGUGGAGCCAACCUUGAAAUACCACCCUUUAAUGUUUGAUGUUCUAACGUUGGCCCCU
RNAcentral lists this ribosomal RNA (2206 nucleotides) under Klebsiella pneumoniae. Its description in RNAcentral is "bacterial LSU rRNA". It matches the Rfam family "Bacterial large subunit ribosomal RNA", at positions 1 to 2236 of the family's 2925-position model. The record is from RNAcentral. Lineage: Bacteria; Pseudomonadati; Pseudomonadota; Gammaproteobacteria; Enterobacterales; Enterobacteriaceae.